Puntigrus tetrazona (Sumatra barb) is the source of this 2830-nucleotide long non-coding RNA. RefSeq lists it as uncharacterized. NCBI's taxonomy places the organism in Eukaryota, Metazoa, Chordata, Actinopteri, Cypriniformes, Cyprinidae. The transcript has 2 exons. The record is from RefSeq and is a predicted model, not a curated record.
AAUAAAGCCAUUACAAAAAUCGCUUUUUGUGGUGUUUUGGGUAUUUUUCCAAUAGGAUUUAAGACAGACAGCAUUAUACGUCCCAUUAAAACCAAUACAAUUCCCAUUUUAACCAUUAAAUCCGUUACAUUUUCUGUUGUGUUUUGGGUAGGGUUCUAUAGGUUUUUUUUCCCAACAGGGUGGUUAAACACAACACAACUGUAUUUAAACUUGACAGGAAAUGCGCGAAAAGUAUGGCAAGACACAGAAUGUGUGUUAUUUAUUCUGUCUUUCUGAUCGAGUGCUUAGAAUGAAAACUCUGGCAACCAGGCCAGGGGAAAAAACACCUGAGGGAAGCAAUAUACACCUUAUAACGACCUCUUCUUAAGUCAGCAGUUUGUGUCAAACAGUGCGCCAUGGCUUUAGAGAUGAUUCAGCUUCAGGAUAUCAAUGAUCUGAUCUUGAUUAAAUAAAGCAUGAGAUUAUGAAGCGCAUGUAAAACAGUAGCCGCCAGGGAGCGCCGUUUACCGUAUUUUCCAGACCUGCUCGGGUCCAGCAGACGUACGGGUCUCUGCAGCAAGCUAAUGGGAGGAACCGCGCCGGGGCGUUUCUAGACCCCCGUUACCCGGUUGGAUGACGUCACCGCGAGGGUCAGGGGGAUCAUCUUGAUCACGUGAUUCAGGAACGCCCGCUUCUGCCGCUUAGACGCUCCUUGCCGAUCUCAGAAAAGAGAUUCGAGCUGCUGAACCACAGCGUGUUGUAAAUUAACCAUAACUCGAGAUUUAUUUUUGUGCGUGACACUGCAACGCCUCCCGGUGUAACCGGAAACACGUGAUGUGUAAACACAGCAUUUAUGUUCGACAUGGUUCAUUUAAAUAGUUAAAUGCAUUAUUAUUAUUGCUAAUUGACUAAAGCAUAUAAAAUAUUAUUUAUACAUAUAUAUUUAUACAUACACACAUAUACACACACUCACACAACUACAGACUAUAAAAUAAAAAUGCAUAAAACGUUUUUGUUGUACGGUUCGUUAGGAUAGGACCAUAUUUAGCCGAGAUACAACAAUGGCAGGGAAUCUGAGGUUAAAAAAGGUUUGCUAUAUUAGCGGAAGUAAAUUUUAUAUGAAAAUCUCUUGAUAUCCUGCUGUUUUUUUUGGAAUAAAAGAAAAAAUUCGAGCCACACAGUUUUAUUGUUGAACACCGCUACAAAUAUACCUGUACUUAAGACCGGGUCACGUCUACGGCUGGGGGCGUCGUUUGGCCUUGACCUUUCACCCUUCGGUCUGACGUCACCGGGUUCUCAACGCACUCUGAUUGGCUACACACUAGCGAGCCACGCCCUUAUCUCUUUCACAGAACAUCUGCCCGUUUCAGAGAUAAGCGUAUCUCAAGUCAAAACGCGGUUGUAGUCAAUGCCCCAAAUUAGGGGCCGUUUUUACGUCACAUCUAACAUCACUAAGAGAAGAAACUUUGGGGAAUAAGAAAACCGAGAGUCACUGACGUUGUACGUGAAUACUAAAGAAACGCAUUCAGGCAAAUUUCAUUUAACUAAGGCAUGACGGGGAAAGAUGGUUGAUGCUACACUCUCACCAGCAAUGUGCUCCAACCAGUCAAGUGUGCACGUGCCAAGUUUAUUAUUUCAUAGAUACCAGUGCGUGAAUGAGAAAUGUCACUUUAUACAUCAGCCCCCGGAAGCCUAAAAAUGAACUUGCCAUAAAUGUAUUUAAUGGAUGUGAUGCUUUUAGAAAUCUUUCCUAUGGCACUGUACGGAGCCUGCGUGUUUUUUUAUGACUAAUGAUUUCUUGGUUCAGUGCUUGUGCUACAAGGAUGGCAAAAGGAAAUGGGUCACCCUGGGAUCCAACUUAACUUUAACCAGCUCACAGUGAUAACUCUGCCUCUGCAUCAUAUGCAAACCGUUGUGUUCAGCUUACUUCUACUGUCUCAAUCUGUAUUAUAAAAUAUAGAGCAGUGAUUAGAUGUAACAUGGUGUGAUGAUCCAGUUUUAGGGUGAAGACAGUCCACAAAAUAAAUCCCUGAAGCAAAUUGCAUGUGCAGUGAAUCUAUUUGGUGCGUUUUCGAAAUACUUCAUCUGAAAACCAUCUGCAUUUUGUAAAUUUUUCAAGUAUUUCAGCUUUGUGAUCCUUCUCAUAUCAGUGCAGGCAACUCCUGCAAUCUUUGUCAGCCACUGUUUUCUGCGAGGCAAUAUGCAUAUGGAAAUUUUAUGCAGAUGCAGUCAUAAAAAAAUUAAAAAGAAGGCAUCCUAGGAUCCAUUCGUGGUUACUUUGGGGACUUGAGAACAUGAAAAUAAAGCAGAUGGACCACGUGCAAAUUUGUAAAACCAUAUGUAUGAAAUAAAGCUUUUAACAAACCAAUAAGAUGCAGAGCCAAGGUGUCCAGUGUCUGUCUCUUUAAUUUCUAUUUUACCCUAAUUCGUCUCUCUUUUUUUUUUUUUCUUAAAAACUUCAAGUAUUUGUUGGGAACACAAAGUCCAAAAACAAAACGAACAAACAAAAAAAAAAAAAUAAUUCCUCUAAAAUGCAGAUACAAAGAAGAAGAAAAAAAAAAAUAACCAUCAUAAAACAACUGUUCAAUCAUUUUAUCAAAGCCAUAAUAGUCAUUAACACCAAUAUCAAGUUUUGAAUUUCUUAAAAAUGUCUAACAUCUAUCUUACGACUAAAAGAAAUUCACCAUUUACUUAAAAUGUUCACUUUCCGCUUGGCAGCCGGUAAGACUGAACCAACCCACCGAUCUUCAUUCCUGUCACUAUUUUGCUAGUUUUUCUAUCAACACAAUAGCAAAAGUGGUCAUAAAAACAACUUAAAAAAAAAAAAAAAAAAAAAAAAAAAAAAAAUUAC